CAAAGGCUUGGUCCUGACUUUACUAUCAACUUUAGCUAAACUUACACAUGCAAGUAUCCGCACCCCUGUGAGAAUGCCCUACAGUUCCCUGCCCGGGAACAAGGAGCUGGUAUCAGGCACAUUAAGUUAGCCCACGACACCUUGCUUAGCCACACCCCCAAGGGAACUCAGCAGUGAUAAACAUUAAGCCAUAAGUGAAAACUUGACUUAGUCAAAGCUAAGAGGGCCGGUAAAACUCGUGCCAGCCACCGCGGUUAUACGAGAGGCCCAAGUUGAUGGCCCCCGGCGUAAAGAGUGGUUAAGAUAAACUAUAUACUAAAGCCGAAUACCCUCAAAGCUGUUAUACGCACCCGAGGAUAAGAAGUACAAUCACGAAAGUGGCUUUACACCACCUGAACCCACGAAAGCUUCGGUACCACCUGUGCUUAGAACAGCAUGAUGUGCCUAGCCCUAAACAUCGAUAGCACCUUACACCCGCUAUCCGCCCGGGAACUACGAGCAUAACUCGCAUGACCCAAGGACUUGGCGGUGCUUUAGAUCCACCUAGAGGAGCCUGUUCUAGAACCGAUAACCCCCGUUAAACCUCACCCUUCCUUGUUUUCCCCGCCUAUAUACCGCCGUCGUCAGCUUACCCUGUGAAGGUCCUAUAGUAAGCAAAAUUGGCACAGCCCAAAACGUCAGGUCGAGGUGUAGCGUAUGGAAGGGGAAGAAAUGGGCUACAUUCCCUAAUGCAGUGAAUACGAACGAUGCACUGAAAUGUGCAUCUAAAGGAGGAUUUAGCAGUAAGCAGGAAAUAGAGUGUCCCGCUGAAAUUGGCCCUGAAGCGCGCACACACCGCCCGUCACUCUCCCCAAGCCUAAAAAUGCAAAUAACUAAAACCCUAUAAUCGCAAAGGGGAGGCAUUUCGGGUAACAUCGUAAGUGUACCGGAAGGUGUACUUGGAAAAAU
This 948-nucleotide non-coding RNA is filed under the name Siniperca scherzeri x Siniperca chuatsi. RNAcentral's name for it is "12S ribosomal RNA". It matches the Rfam family "Archaeal small subunit ribosomal RNA". Lineage: Eukaryota; Metazoa; Chordata; Actinopteri; Centrarchiformes; Sinipercidae. The record is from RNAcentral.